RNAcentral lists this ribosomal RNA (205 nucleotides) under uncultured bacterium. RNAcentral's name for it is "partial 16S ribosomal RNA". It matches the Rfam family "Bacterial small subunit ribosomal RNA", at positions 570 to 774 of the family's 1533-position model. The record is from RNAcentral.
CGUAGGCGGACUUUCAAGUCGGAUGUGAAAUCUCCGGGCUCAACUCGGAGCCUGCAUCCGAUACUGUUGGUCUUGAGUAUAUCAGAGGAAAGCGGAAUUCCAGGUGUAGCGGUGAAAUGCGUAGAUAUCUGGAAGAACACCAGUAGCGAAGGCGGCUUUCUGGGGUAAUACUGACGCUGAAGCGCGAAGGCUAGGGGAGCAAACA